UUCCUCAGUGCUGAGGGUCGUGACCUUUAC
Molecule: small RNA, 30 nt
Filed under: Bombyx mori (domestic silkworm)
Lineage: Eukaryota; Metazoa; Arthropoda; Insecta; Lepidoptera; Bombycidae
Description: piRNA piR-bmo-1975624
Source: RNAcentral